Molecule: unclassified non-coding RNA, 245 nt
Filed under: Cortinarius sp.
Lineage: Eukaryota; Fungi; Basidiomycota; Agaricomycetes; Agaricales; Cortinariaceae
Description: partial contains 5.8S ribosomal RNA, internal transcribed spacer 2, and large subunit ribosomal RNA
Rfam family: 5.8S ribosomal RNA (bases 1-52)
Source: RNAcentral
AACGCACCUUGCGCCCUCUGGUAUUCCGGAGGGCAUGCCUGUUUGAGUGUCAUGAACACCUCACCCCCUCGGGUUUCCGAUUGGGUGGACUUGGGCGUUGCCAGUUACAUGGCUCGCCUUAAAUGUAUUAGCGGUUGUUGACGUAAUAAGUUUCGUCUUGUCGACCGCUCCUAAUCUCCUUAGGGAUGUCUUCGGACACUUCAUGAACUGACCUCAAAUCAGGUAGGACUACCCGCUGAACUUAA